RNAcentral lists this unclassified non-coding RNA (341 nucleotides) under uncultured Pseudomonadota bacterium. RNAcentral describes it as "uncultured proteobacterium contains 16S-23S intergenic spacer region". The record is from RNAcentral. Lineage: Bacteria; Pseudomonadati; Pseudomonadota.
UCCGGUUUGUCACCGGCAGUCUCCUUAGAGUUCCCGCCAUUACGCGCUGGCAACUAAGGACGAGGGUUGCGCUCGUUACGGGACUUAACCCAACAUCUUACGACACGAACUGAAGGAUCUCAUCUCUGAGAUCCGCGACCCCCAUGUCAAGGGCUGGUAAGGUUCUUCGCGUUGCGUCGAAUUAAACCACAUGCUCCACCGCUUGUGCGGGCCCCCGUCAAUUCCUUUGAGUUUUAGCCUUGCGGCCGUACUCCCCAGGCGGAGUGCUUAACACGUUAGCUGUGACACUGAAGAACUAUGUUCCCCAACAUCUAGCACUCAUCGUUUACGGCGUGGACUAC